Molecule: ribosomal RNA, 449 nt
Filed under: uncultured bacterium
Lineage: Bacteria
Description: partial 16S ribosomal RNA
Rfam family: Bacterial small subunit ribosomal RNA
Source: RNAcentral
AAUGAACGCUGGCGGCAGGCCUAACACAUGCAAGUCGAACGGGACCUUCGGGUCUAGUGGCGGACGGGUGAGUAACGCGUGGGAACGUGCCCUUUUCUACGGAAUAGCCUCGGGAAACUGGGAGUAAUACCGUAUAAGCUCGAGAGAGGAAAGAUUUAUCGGGAAAGGAUCGGCCCGCGUUGGAUUAGGUAGUUGGUGGGGUAAUGGCCUACCAAGCCGACGAUCCAUAGCUGGUUUGAGAGGAUGAUCAGCCACACUGGGACUGAGACACGGCCCAGACUCCUACGGGAGGCAGCAGUGGGGAAUCUUAGACAAUGGGGGAAACCCUGAUCUAGCCAUGCCGCGUGAUCGAUGAAGGCCUUAGGGUUGUAAAGCUCUUUCACCGGAGAAGAUAAUGACGGUAUCCGGAGAAGAAGCCCCGGCUAACUUCGUGCCAGCAGCCGCGGUAA